AGAAGGGAGAGGAGAGGAAUGACAGAUGAAGAGCGAGGAGAGUGAGUGUUGUUUGUGUACAACACUCACCUCUCAACAUUUCUCAAGGACCUUUAAGGCUUUAUAGAAGCAGAAUGUAGGAUGAGAGGGUUGAGCCAGCUGUAUGUGAAGUUGCGCUGUGAUGACGGCCCCAUUCUGGAGCAGAUAGAGCAGCUCCUGGUGGAACUGGGGGAUGAGACAGAGGGGGAGGAAGGGAAACAGACCCUGCCAUGGAUGAAGACUUUGAGCCCAGUAGUGACGAUGAGGAGGAGGAAGCCAUCGAACAUUCUCUCUACAAGUGAUCUAGUGGUAAAACAGUGGGUUAGUGCACGCUGAGAGACGUUUGUGGUGAAUAAAGUAAUGCUCCCUAUAUUUCCAAUGCAUUUUUCUGUGAUAGGUGGGGAAAUGCACGGGCAAAAUAAAGUGUGUAAAAGACAUUUAGACCGCAUACCCCUGUCUACUUUUAUAGUACACUAUUAACUCGGACAUUAAAUAAAGCUAAAGUUUAUAGAAAUGUAGUUUAUAAAGACCUCUUACCUAUCUCUGUACACCUCACAAACUAGACCAGAUGCAACACUUUGUUUGAAAGCAGCAGAGUUGCGACUGUUGAUGGGCCCUUGAGAGAGGAUGAAUGGGCCCUUGAGUUUUCUCUGAGUUUUGCUCUCUCUCUCUAGAUAUUGUCUGUAUUGUGUUCUCAGAAGUGCCUUUCUUCUGUUCAACCCUGAGUUUCCCAGAAUCAUAUGACCUCUCUCUCUGUCAUAUUAGUGCUGAAUUGUUUUCUGUAUUAGAAAAGAUUGGUUGACAUGUCGACUCAAGCUUUGUUUCCAUUGUCCUGGAAUGAACCAGAUAAAAAACAACUUCAAUGCUGUUUAUUUUCUGUAUUUUUCUCCUCUCAAUCUGAUACUUUUUGAGAUACAUGUUUUAAUAAUGAGGUGAAUGUUUGCUUCCCUUCAUGACCCAGGCUCACUUUAGAAAGAGAUUCCAUUCUGAAUGUGACCUGCUAAAAUAAAGAACUAAUACAGAACAGA
Salmo salar (Atlantic salmon) is the source of this 1046-nucleotide long non-coding RNA. RefSeq lists it as uncharacterized. The record is from RefSeq and is a predicted model, not a curated record. Lineage: Eukaryota; Metazoa; Chordata; Actinopteri; Salmoniformes; Salmonidae.